AUUGAACGCUGGCGGCAUGCCUUACACAUGCAAGUCGAACGGUAACGGGCCUUCGGGUGCCGACGAGUGGCGGACGGGGGCGUAAUACAUCGGAACGCGCCCGAUCGUGGGGGAUAACGAGGCGAAAGCUUUGCUAACACCGCAUACGACCUACGGCUGAAAGCAGGGGAAAGCAAGGCCUCGUGCGGACGGAGCGGCCGAUGGCAGCUUAGGUAGGUUGAGGGAUAAAAGCUUACCAAGCCGACGCACUGUAGCUGGCCUGAGAGGAUGAUCAGCCACACUGGGACUGAGACACGGCCCAGACUCCUACGGGAGGCAGCAGUGGGGAAUAUUGGACAAUGGGCGCAAGCCUGAUCCAGCCAUGCCGCGUGCAGGAUGAAGGCCUUCGGGUUGUAAACUGCUUUUGUACGGAACGAAAAGCCUUCUUUUAAUACAGGGGGGUCAUGACGGUACCGUAAGAAUAAGCACCGGCUAACUACGUG
RNAcentral lists this ribosomal RNA (482 nucleotides) under uncultured bacterium. RNAcentral describes it as "partial 16S ribosomal RNA". It matches the Rfam family "Bacterial small subunit ribosomal RNA", at positions 29 to 507 of the family's 1533-position model. The record is from RNAcentral.